GCUGUCGCAAAAUCGACAGCNGGGCGUAGGAACCCGUGUAAUUCACAGGCGACCACCAGACGCGCCAUGCGUCUUUUUU
This 79-nucleotide small RNA is filed under the name Klebsiella pneumoniae. RNAcentral's name for it is "isrK". It matches the Rfam family "isrK Hfq binding RNA". The record is from RNAcentral. Lineage: Bacteria; Pseudomonadati; Pseudomonadota; Gammaproteobacteria; Enterobacterales; Enterobacteriaceae.